AGUGGCAGUAUUGGGUUAUAUGGUGAGUGUAUGCUUUAAUUUAUAAGAAACUACCAAACUGUCUUCCAAAGUGACUAUUAUUUUGCAUUCCCACUGGUAAU
This 101-nucleotide microRNA precursor is filed under the name Marmota monax (woodchuck). Lineage: Eukaryota; Metazoa; Chordata; Mammalia; Rodentia; Sciuridae. The record is from RNAcentral.